GACGAACGCUGGCGGCGUGCCUAAUACAUGCAAGUCGAACGAACCGCGACUAGGUGCUUGCACUUGGUCAAGGUGAGUGGCGAACGGGUGAGUAACACGUGGGUAACCUACCUCAUAGUGGGGGAUAACAGUCGGAAACGACUGCUAAUACCGCAUAGGACAUAGGAUCACAUGAUCCAGUGAGGAAAGGUGGCGCAAGCUAUCGCUAAGAGAUGGACCCGCGGUGCAUUAGCUAGUUGGUAGGGUAAAGGCCUACCAAGGCGAUGAUGCAUAGCCGACCUGAGAGGGUGAUCGGCCACAUUGGGGCUGAGACACGGCCCAAACUCCUACGGGAGGCAGCAGUAGGGAAUCUUCCGCAAUGGACGCAAGUCUGACGGAGCAACGCCGCGUGAGUGAAGAAGGUCUUCGGAUCGUAAAGCUCUGUUGUUAGAGAAGAACAGCGCAUAGAGUAACUGUUAUGCGUGUGACGGUAUCUAACCAGAAAGCCACGGCUAACUACGUG
RNAcentral lists this ribosomal RNA (502 nucleotides) under uncultured bacterium. RNAcentral describes it as "partial 16S ribosomal RNA". It matches the Rfam family "Bacterial small subunit ribosomal RNA", at positions 28 to 507 of the family's 1533-position model. The record is from RNAcentral.